AGGCAUUUCAAAGCAAUUACACAGCAUAAAUAAAGGCAUCAAACAAUCUGCAGGCCGUUGUACCUCGAAAGUGAAGUAAUUAUACAUCAAAAGCGAAUCAUGUCAUUGUCAAGUGUUUGAACAGAGCUGAACAAGAUCGGAUCAUACCUGAAAAGUGUGCACUUGAGUGUCUUUUGAUGGGGCCACCAUUAAUAUGCAGUGUCUUGAUCGCGAAUAUUAUUAUUUUAAUUUCGUUAUUUCGCAUUUGUCAUUAAUGGGCCUUUUGUUUCGUUUUCGUACAGCGUUUGUGCGAGAGAUAUUCGAGUUUAUAGACUCUUUGAGCUUGGCUCUGGUGUGAGAAGAUACUGCGUCAAGAUACAGAUACAGAUGGGAUCGGCGACAAAACAUGCUGGGAACUACGUGAUUGAUGGCGGCACUGCGAUUACCAGCCGAACAGCUGAACAGUACUGAACUCGACUUAGAAUACUCGGCCCAGGCGAAUAUAUUAUAAAUGCUGGGAUAUAUGCGAAAUCAGUGAAAUCUUGUCGCGUCUAAAAAGGAAAAUCACACAGCAAAUGCAAAAUUUAUGAGCGAACUACGUCGAACGACGUCUCCGGGCGAACGGAGCAGGAAUACCAAUUGGGCUGGGUUUUCGAUUGGGAUUCGUAUAGGGAUGGAGCGGAUGUGCACUGCACUCGAGGAUGAGUCAGCUGAGCCGGAGGUCCGUGUGGGUUCAGCCCUGUCAGACAGAUCAAACUAUAAAGACAGGGUCCAGGUUCGCCGAAUGUCUUUAAUUAGCCAGCACGGUUUCAGAGAUCUCAUCUAGUAAUCACUUUAUUUACCAGACACAACUUGGGGUCAGCAUGAUAAUCAUAUGCUAUCAUCACUUAAUUAACAACGGAAUUUUUUAUACAAGAU
Drosophila melanogaster (fruit fly) is the source of this 897-nucleotide non-coding RNA. NCBI's taxonomy places the organism in Eukaryota, Metazoa, Arthropoda, Insecta, Diptera, Drosophilidae. The record is from Ensembl.